CACACUGGACUUUAGAAGAAGAAGAUAGACUUUAUUAAUCCUUUAUUAAUUCAAUUUUUCACUCUGUUGUCAUACACACACACACACAGAGGCCUGAAAUACUCACACAUGCAGAAACAGGACCUAUACAAUUGAUGUUUUAGAAAAAGACUUCUGCCUAACGAGACAACAACAAACAGACCGGAUCAAGUGAAAGAUUAUGAUGAACAUGGACAGAAAACAUUUCACUCCUUAAAGUUCGUCAGAGCGAGUAUUGGAAAUGCCACGACCCUAACCUUCACUGGAUUUCACCUCCUGAGGCUUCAUGAGCUGCUAAAGACACCGCUGUGGCGAAGAUAACAAUGGCGUCGGCUCUCCCAAGGCCUGAAACAUCUUCACAACAAAGACAGAAACAGGACGUUUUACAGUGGUGAGUUUUUAUUUUGUAGCCGUCUUAUAUUCAGACAUGUCAGAGCUGUCCAUGGACACGUGUUGUACCGAUGUAGUGCUUUUAUUUUGAAAGAGACUGUAUGCAAACUGUACAUUUCCUGUGAAAACAGAAGUGUAUUUUGAAAACAGACAAUGCAUGUAACAGGCUGAAGUUGACACGGCGUCCCAGAACGUCAACAACCAACACACCCAGGGUACCUUGGACGUCAUAUGUGGACGUGGAAAGUCCAUGAGCAAUAUUUAGAUCUAUAACCUUAGGUGCUGACAGAGUGUCGCAGACUCAUAUAAGAACAAUCAGUUAUGUGUAGCACAUGUUUAUUGCUUAUUUUGUAUUAAACAAUAACAACAGUAACCACAGAACAUUCAUAAACAAGAAUACAGGAGUAUAAAUAUAGAAUAUCUGUGCUACAGGAUAGUGUUGGAACAUUUCUCAAAAACACAACAGACACUCACUCACUCACUCACUCACUCACUCACUCACUCACUCACACAUAUCCAUACAUUCACUCACUCAUUAUUCACACAUCCAAAUGGAGGACCAUUUGGGUUCAGUCUCUGCUUUAGUUUAGUGCUCAGAGUACUGCUCGCACUCCACGUUCCUCCAGAACAGUCUCCACAUCCUACAUUUCAACUUUACAUUUAGGAGGUGCUCAACAAUCGAGGCAGAACAACACGUGAUCCAACACUUGACAGCUUGUCCCAGUUUUAUCCUUGUGGAGAAUCAGAUCCCAAAAAAGUCCCACUGUUGAUGUUGAUACAAAACAUCUUUUAAUAAGCCCCGUUUCCACCGAGCAGUUCAGUUCAGUUCAGUUCAGUUCAGUUCAG
This is a long non-coding RNA of Epinephelus moara (kelp grouper), 1254 nucleotides long. RefSeq lists it as uncharacterized. The record is from RefSeq and is a predicted model, not a curated record. NCBI's taxonomy places the organism in Eukaryota, Metazoa, Chordata, Actinopteri, Perciformes, Serranidae. The transcript has 3 exons.